GAGGACUGACUCGAUUUUGAAAGAAGUUCUACUGUGGGUAAAAUGCUAUCAAACAGCAUCACAUGCUACAGAGAAAUCGUUCAUGAAAGGAGAAGUCAAUCGGUGUGGCAGACUUCAUUGUUGUCUAUUUUAGGAAAUUUCCACAGCCACCCCAGCCUUCAGCAGCCACCACCCUGAUCAGUCAGCAGCCAUCAAUAUCAAGGCAAGAUCCUCCGCCAGCAAAAAGAUUACAGCUCGCUGAAGGCUAGGAUGAUGAUGAGGCGGUGCCCGAGUGGCAGAGCGGCGGCCCGCACUGGGCCUGGCUCCGGUACCUCGUCUAUGGCAGAUUCUUCGAUCAGUCGGGGAGCAUCUGAAGACAACAAGCCAUGAGUCGCCAUCACGAAGAUCUUAUAUGCACCUCUUUCCUUCAGGGUCUCUGCCGCAGCCAGAAAGCUGUCAACAUCAUCGAUAAUGUCAUCCUGUCAAAUUACAGAUGGAGCAAAAGGUACAUGAACACCUUCACAAAGGCCUCUCACAGGGAGCUCCUCCUGCACGGCACUGCCUUCCACAGCUGUCUCUCCACCCCAGGGCUCCCUGGGGUCUGCGUCUACUUAGCCCUGCUGUCCAGAACCGUGCCCCACCGUGCAGGCGCUCCACAGAGGCUCGCCAAAUGCUUUCUUCUAAUUCGCAGUAAAACUGGUGGAAGAUG
Molecule: long non-coding RNA, 688 nt
Organism: Equus caballus (horse)
Lineage: Eukaryota; Metazoa; Chordata; Mammalia; Perissodactyla; Equidae
Source: RefSeq, a predicted model, not a curated record